AGCGAACGCUGGCGGCAGGCCUAACACAUGCAAGUCGAACGAACUCUUCGGAGUUAGUGGCGGACGGGUGAGUAACACGUGGGAACGUGCCUUUAGGUUCGGAAUAACUCAGGGAAACUUGUGCUAAUACCGAAUGUGCCCUUCGGGGGAAAGAUUUAUCGCCUUUAGAGCGGCCCGCGUCUGAUUAGCUAGUUGGUGAGGUAAAGGCUCACCAAGGCGACGAUCAGUAGCUGGUCUGAGAGGAUGAUCAGCCACAUUGGGACUGAGACACGGCCCAAACUCCUACGGGAGGCAGCAGUGGGGAAUCUUGCGCAAUGGGCGAAAGCCUGACGCGGCCAUGCCGCGUGAAUGAUGAAGGUCUUAGGAUUGUAAAAUUCUUUCACCGGGGACGAUAAUGACGGUACCCGGAGAAGAAGCCCCGGCUAACUUCGUG
RNAcentral lists this ribosomal RNA (433 nucleotides) under uncultured bacterium. RNAcentral describes it as "partial 16S ribosomal RNA". It matches the Rfam family "Bacterial small subunit ribosomal RNA", at positions 29 to 507 of the family's 1533-position model. The record is from RNAcentral.